CUUCUGUUUUUGUGUAUAUCUCAUACUAAAUAGUUUUAGAUCUUCAAAUGAAAUACAACGUAAAACAAAGGCAUUUUUAAUUUAUUUAUAAACAUUUUUAUAAAAAAGUAAUCCAAUACCCAUCACCUAUGUGAAAAACUAUUUGCCCCCUUAAACCUAAAAUCUGGUUGUGCCACCUUUAACAGCAAUAACUGAAACCAAAUGCUUCCGAUAACUGGAGAUCAGUUUUUCACUUACUUCUAGGACUAGGACUUACUCCUAUGCUUUGGAUCAUUGUCUUGCUGCAUAAUCCAGUUGAGCCUGAGUUUCAAUUUACGGACUGAACACCGGACAUUCUCCUUUAGGAUUUUCUGGUAGAGAGCAGAAUUCAUGUUUCCCUCAAUUACUGUAAGUUGCCCAGGCCCGGAAGCAGCAAAGCAUCCCAACCACCAUGCUUGACCAUAGAUACGAUGUUCUUUUUGUUGAAUUGGUUUAUGCCAGAUGUAAUGAGACCCCUGUUUUCCAAACAGUUCCACUUUCGACUCAUCAAUCCACAGAACAGUCUCACAAAAUGUUCAUCAAGGUGUGUUUUGGCAAAAUUCAGAUGAGCCUUAAUGUUCUUCUGGGUUAGCAGUGGUUUUCACCUCGCCAAUCUUCCAUGGAUGCCAUUUUGCCCAGUGUAUUUCUGAUAGUGGAGUCAUGAACAGUGACCUUUAUUGAUGCAAGAGAGGCCUGUAGGUCCUUUGAUGUUGUCCUUGGCUCUUUUGUGAUUGUAUUCUUGGAGGGCUUUGGAACGACAGCCACUUCUGUGAAGGUUCACUACUGUAAGUUUUUUUUCCCAUUUGGAGUUAAUGACUCUCACUGUGGUCCUGUGGAGUCCCAGAGCCUUUGAAAUAUCUUUGCAACCCUUCCAAGACUGAUGUAUUUCAAUCAACUUCUUCCUCAUAAUUUCUGGAAUUUCUUUCAAUUUUGCCAUAGUAUAUUACUGGGUAAGACCUUUUAAUCAACUUCAUGCUGUUCAAAAAGUUCUAUUUAAGUGUUGAUUUGAUUGAACAGUGUUUUCAGUAAUGAAGCCUGGUUGCGUCUAGUCCAGCUGAACCCCAUUAUGAAUGCAGUUUCAUAGAUUUGGGGAAUUAGUAACUACGGGGGCAAAUACAUUUUGACGCCGGCCCAGGCUGCCAUGAUGGAUACGGACUCUAUAGGAACCUUUAUUAAAACUGGCUAAAAAGAGCAAAUGAAUUAAUUAAACAGAAACUUUUUGAGUGUUAGUAAGAAUAAAAAUGAGCUCAGCGUCAAGCUGUACUGUCGCUGGCUGCCUCACCAACAGCAACAAACUUUUGAGUUUUGUGAUAAUUUGCAAAUUGCUGUGGUAUAAGAGGAAAACACUUUUUCAUGGCUUUUUUCCCCUACAACAGGACAGACACCCCAUAAUGUUUUACUCAUUUAUCUAUAUUCCAAAUGAUACACACAAAUCUAAUGGGUAUAGUAAACAUAUAUUUGGAGUAUAGCAUGAAGCAUGCCCUUACCUCCUCUAUAUAGAUAAUGAUUUUGUCAUUGCUUAGUUCAGUGACAGAUAGCAUCCUAACCACUGCUUGAGCAAAUGCUGUAGAGUCUGGAGAAAUCAAAACAGAUAAACAGAAUAGUUAUUUUUAAUAAUAAGACAAAUCACACAACUAAAAACAAUCUUUUUUGGUUUGAAAUGUAAACAAUAUCAAGGGUUAAUAUAAGAAAAACAGUACUUGUUGAUGGUGGAGCUGUUGGUGGUUGAAUUGUUCGUGGAGAGGUGGUUUUGUUGGUGGUUGUUGGAGGGGUUAUAGUUGUUUCUGGAACUGUGCUUUUGCUGGUUGUUGUUGAAGGAGUUGUAAGUGUUUUUAGAAAGGUGGUUAUGUUUGUUGGAGUAGUUGUGGUGGUAGUUAUAUUUAGAGAAGUUGUUGUAGAGGUGGUUGCUAGAGAUAUGGUUGUGCCGGUUGCUUCUAUAGUUUUUAGACUGGCAUUUAUUAGGUUUAUGGGUGUUGUUAGACUAGUCGUUGUGGUGGUGGUUGCUAUAUUUGGUGGAGUUAUGGGUGUUGUUCGAGAGGUAGCUGUUGUUGGAGAGAUGGUUGUGAUAUAUGUAGGUGUUGUCAGUCCAGCGGUUGUGAUGAUAGUUGUUGUAUUUGGAUUACUUGUUGGUGUUGUUGCAGAAGUGGUUGUUGCAGAAAUGAUUGUGCUGAUUGUUGUAUAAGGAGUUGUUGUUUUUGGAGAGGUGGUUAUGAUGUUUAUUGGCAUUGUUGGACUAGUGGUUGUGGGAGACAUUACUGUACCUGGAGGAGUUAUUGGUGUUGUAGAAAUGGUUGCUGGAGAAACAGUUGUACUGGUUGUUAUUGAAGGACUUGUUUUUGGAGAGGUGGAUAUGAUGUGUAUGGGCAUUAUUGGAUUAGUGUAUGUGAUGGUGGUUGUUCUUUUUAUUCUUGUGGGAAUUGUGGGUGUUGUUGCAGAGAAGGUUAGAGAAAUGGUUUUGCUGGUUGUUGUUGGAGUUGCCAUUGCUGGACUAGUGGUUGUGGUGGUUUCUGUGUUCGGAGGAGUUAUGGGUGUUGUUGGAGAGAUGUUUGUGAUAGUCAUAGUUUUUGGACCAGUGGUUGUGAUGGUGGCUGUGGUAUUUGGAUUUGUUGUUGGUGUUGUUGGAAAGGUGGUUGUAGAAGAAAUGGAUGUGCUAGUUGUUGCUGUAGAAGAGGUUGAAGUUGUUUUUGGAGAUGCAGUUAUUAGGUUUAGGGGCAUUGUUGGACUAGUGGUUGUGGUGGGGUUUGCUGUAUUUGUAAGAGUUGUGGGUGUUGUUGGAGAGGUAGCUGUUGUUGGAGAGAUGGAUGUGAUAGUUGUAGUUGUUCUCAGACCAUUGAUUAUGGUGGCCAUUAUUGUUGGAGAUGUGGCUGUUGUUGCUGGAGCUACAGAUGUUGAGUGUGGAGCUGUAGAUGCUACAAAAACAGAAGGUGUUGUGGUGGUACUUGAGGGAAAUGUGGUUGUGUUUUUUUUUUUAGUGGUAGUUGCUGGAACUGUGGAGGUUAGUGUGUUAUUUGUUUUGGUUAUUGGUAUUGUAAGUGCUGUUGUGAUUGGAUGGGUGGUUAUUGUGGUUGAUUUGGUAUUUUUACUAGUUGUUGUUCUUGGAGGGGUGGUUGUUAGUGUAAUUACUGAUGGAAUAGAAGUUGUUGGUGAAAAAAUGGUUGUUGAAGAUGUGGUUGGAGUAAAUUGAGCUAUACUUGUUGAUAGAAAGGAGGGAGUUGAAGAUAUGGAUAUUACAGCUAUAGUUGGAGCUGGAGAUGGUGAAUCUGUAGCAGGUGAAAUUUUAACUGUUGAUUGUAGUAAUGCAAAUGUUGAGGGCAGAUCUGAUAAAGUUGGAGGUGAUAUUUCAGUGGUAGAUGGUGUUUGUGAAGCAGGUGAAAGUACAGAUGGAAAUAAUGGACUUGAAAAUGUUACACUUGAUUCUUGUGUUGCAUAUGAUGAAGAGAAAGCUCUCGGUGUUGACUGAUAGUCUACAGUGGUUUUCACUUUUAUUGCUGAAGAUGUCAAGGUCAAAUCUGUAGAAGAUUCUGGAACGAUAGAUGCUAUAACCGAUGGUGCUGAUAAAUUUCCGGGAGAUUUAGGUGUUGAUGACUGAUCUGUAGAAGAUUCUGGGGAAGUAUAAAGGGAUGCUGUAACUGAUGGUGUUGCUGAAGUUUCUAGAGAUUCCGUUGUUGGUGAGUGAUAUGUUGAUGAUUCCGGGGAAGUAUAUGGAGAUGCUGAAAUCACUUGUGUUGAUGUUUCUGAAGAUUCAGAUGUUGAGUGAUCUGUAGAUGAUUCUGGUGAAGUUGAUGGUGAUGCUGUAACUGCUUGAGUCGCUGAAGUUUCUGGAUAUUCAAGUGUUGAUAAGUGAUCUAUAGAUAAUUCAGAGAAAGUAAAUGGUGUUGCACCAACUCUUGUGCUGCCGACGUUUCUGGAGAUUUAGAUGUUGUUGACUGAUCUGUAGUGGAUUCUGGUGAUGUACAUGGUGCUGCUGUCCCUGCUUGUGUCGCUGAAGUUUCUGGAGAUUCAACUGUUGAUAAGUGAUCUGUAGAUAAUUCUGAAAAAGUAGAUGGCGACAUUGUAACUGAUGGUGUUGCUGAAGUUUCUGCAGAUUCAUUUGUUGAUGAGUGAUCUGUAGAUAAUUCUGAGAAAGUAGAUGGUGAUGCAGUAACUGUUUCUUCUGCUGAAGUUUCUGGAGACUCAGAUGUUGAGUGAUCUGUAGAUGAUUCACAGAAAGUAAAUGGUGUUACACCAACUCUUUUUUGUGCUGGGGUGCCGAAGUUUCUGGAGAUUUAGAUGUUGUUGACUGAUCUGUAGUGGAUUCUGGUGAAUGUACAUGGUGCUGCUGUCCCUGCUUGUGUUGCUGAUGUUUCUGGAGAUUCA
Molecule: long non-coding RNA, 4374 nt
Organism: Ictalurus punctatus (channel catfish)
Lineage: Eukaryota; Metazoa; Chordata; Actinopteri; Siluriformes; Ictaluridae
Source: Ensembl